RNAcentral lists this ribosomal RNA (881 nucleotides) under uncultured bacterium. RNAcentral's name for it is "bacterial SSU rRNA". It matches the Rfam family "Bacterial small subunit ribosomal RNA", at positions 8 to 916 of the family's 1533-position model. The record is from RNAcentral.
AGAGUUUGAUCCUGGCUCAGGAUGAACGCUGACAGAAUGCUUAACACAUGCAAGUCGACUCGAGUCUUCGGACUUGGGUGGCGCACGGGUGAGUAACGCGUAAAGAACUUGCCUCUUAGACCGGGACAACAUCUGGAAACGGAUGCUAAUACCGGAUAUUAUGGUUUUUUCGCAUGGAGGAAUCAUGAAAGCUAGAUGCGCUAAGAGAGAGCUUUGCGUCCCAUUAGCUGGUUGGUGAGGUAACGGCCCACCAAGGCAAUGAUGGGUAGCCGGCCUGAGAGGGUGAACGGCCACAAGGGGACUGAGACACGGCCCUUACUCCUACGGGAGGCAGCAGUGGGGAAUAUUGGACAAUGGACCACAAGUCUGAUCCAGCAAUUCUGUGUGCACGAUGACGUUUUUCGGAAUGUAAAGUGCUUUCAGUCGGGAAGAAGUCAGUGACGGUACCGACAGAAGAAGCGACGGCUAAAUACGUGCCAGCAGCCGCGGUAAUACGUAUGUCGCAAGCGUUAUCCGGAUUUAUUGGGCGUAAAGCGCGUCUAGGCGGCAAGGAAAGUCUGAUGUGAAAAUGCGGAGCUCAACUCCGUAUGGCGUUGGAAACUGCCUUACUAGAGUACUGGAGAGGUAGGCGGAACUACAAGUGUAGAGGUGAAAUUCGUAGAUAUUUGUAGGAAUGCCGAUGGGGAAGCCAGCCUACUGGACAGAUACUGACGCUAAAGCGCGAAAGCGUGGGUAGCAAACAGGAUUAGAUACCCUGGUAGUCCACGCUGUAAACGAUGAUUACUAGGUGUUGGGGGUCAAACCUCAGCGCCCAAGCUAACGCGAUAAGUAAUCCGCCUGGGGAGUACGUACGCAAGUAUGAAACUCAAAGGAAUUGACGG